Long non-coding RNA from Bufo gargarizans (Asiatic toad), 324 nucleotides. RefSeq lists it as uncharacterized. The transcript has 3 exons. The record is from RefSeq and is a predicted model, not a curated record. Lineage: Eukaryota; Metazoa; Chordata; Amphibia; Anura; Bufonidae.
CACAGAGGAGGACACGCUCCGUCCCGGUUUCUACAAUAUAGGAUUAUCUCACUGGAUAUAUUGUUGACCCGUCAAGGAUGGAUAGGGACAGGGACAAGAUGGCGGAGAGUAUAAUAAAUCUCACCCUAGAGAUCCUCUUCCGGCUUACUGGAGAGGACUACACAGUAGUGAAGAAGACGUCUAGUGGGCGCUGUCAGGACCCUGUGUCUGAAGGAUGGGGAAGAACCCUGAGCCCAAUCAUGGAGCCUCCACCUCACCCCCUGAUACAUGAGGAAAUCAAUAGAGAGAAGAUCCUAGAACUCACCAACAAGAUGAUUGAGCUGC